GACGAACGCUGGCGGCGUGCUUAACACAUGCAAGUCGAACGGGAUUUAGUAGACAGAAGCCUCGGCUAAAGAUUACUAAUGAGAGUGGCGAACGGGUGAGUAACGCGUGAGCAACCUGCCUAUGACAGUGGGAUAGCCUCGGGAAACCGGGAUUAAUACCGCAUAAAAUCGUAGAAACACAUGUUUUAACGGUCAAAGAUUUAUCGGUCAUAGAUGGGCUCGCGUCUGAUUAGCUAGUUGGUGAGAUAACAGCCCACCAAGGCGACGAUCAGUAGCCGGUCUGAGAGGAUGAACGGCCACAGUGGAACUGAGACACGGUCCAGACUCCUACGGGAGGCAGCAGUGGGGAAUAUUGCACAAUGGGGGAAACCCUGAUGCAGCGACGCCGCGUGAACGAAGAAGGUAUUCGUAUCGUAAAGUUCUGUCCUAUGGGAAGAUAAUGACAGUACCAUAGAAGAAAGCUCCGGCUAAAUACGUG
This 478-nucleotide ribosomal RNA is filed under the name uncultured bacterium. RNAcentral's name for it is "partial 16S ribosomal RNA". It matches the Rfam family "Bacterial small subunit ribosomal RNA", at positions 28 to 507 of the family's 1533-position model. The record is from RNAcentral.